AAAGCUCCAGAAAAUUUGACAUGGCCACUGUCGUAUACACAUUUGGAAACAGUGUGUACAUAUAUGUAGAAUAAAACCACAAUUGCUCAAACAGUGUAAUUUCUCGCAUGCGAGCACAGGCGCAAGCAUCAGACUUAGUUCAGAAACAGUUGGAAAAUAAAUAGUGAUAACCACAGGUUGGCCAAAGUACAAGCAGAAUCAUCAGCUAAAAUAAAUGUCGUCCAACAGUCACGCUUGAAAGAUCGAGCAUUAGCGCAGAUGGGAAAUCACAACAUGGUUCCUUCUGGAUGACACAGGGCCUCAAACUCGUUUGCACAUCCUGUUAAGAAUCAUCUACUCCAAUCAAUAUCUACAAUUACAGUUCACACGGUACUACAAGUACAUGUACCAGGAAUUAGCAAGAUGACUCCAGGACAUGUACGCUAGAUCAAUAUUGUUGAUUCUAAAAGCGUUGUUAGAACAUGGAUUGCAACAAGAAAAAAAAAGGCAUGAAUAAGAUGAACUAGUAAUGCUAUGAGAAAAUUCAAUUGGAUAUCAAAGUGCAGUUUCAUUAAGAUCAACAAAGUGAACCAGAAGAAAACACAGCAGAUAUAAUCUAUCUCCAGGCACGUCCGCUAACUCCCUGUUAACCAUUCUUUCACAUGCAAGUCAUAACAUUCAUGCACAAAACUUACUUUAAAGCUUCAAGGACAUAUAGAUACUCUUUACAAAUCAAGGAUGGGAACAACAAGCACAUCUCUUUUCCUGAUUACUAGUCUAAUAAAAGCUGCAAUUGGGGGAAAUUGACAAAAGGAAAGAAACAUAGUGCAUGGAUAAUCGAAUAGUAGUCAUACCCCCAGAAGGAUGAAGCCAAGUGUUGAGAUGAUUAGAUGAUUCUGCAUCAUAACAUAGUAUUCAAGCCUGAAUUUCAGAGAAUUUCAUAAGGAGCAUAGUCCUGCAUGCAAAAGUAAAAAAGAUCAUCAAUAGAAUUUCAGAGACAAAAAGUACCAACUACCAAGGGAGUACUCGUAAGGAAUAAUACAUUAAUACUUAAUGGGAUUGGAUUUGUAAAUGUUGGAUUUAAGCUGGGAAAUGAUGGCAUAGGCUAGAAUUAACCAAAGCUAAAAACAAGUUGCAGUUGAUUCGUGCAGGCAUAAACAGAAGGGAAAAUGAUGUAAAGUAUAGAGGUGCGGCAAAUAAAACAAAUGACACAGCUCGAUCACAUAAAAAAUAGUUCUAGUAAGUCUAGUAUGUAUGAACUAUGAAGCAGAUCUUAAAACUCAUUAAACAAUUUUUCUUCUGGGGAAUUAACUGCAGUAGAACAAAGCAAAGCUUGCAGCAGUGAAAGAUAUGUUCAGCAAAUUUGAUUUGGCUAUUCUGCUGAUGUUUCACUUGUAGAAGUACCAUAUUACCAGAGCAUAGCUCUGGAAGAUUCGGUCUUAUUUUCCUGUUGGCAGGGUCUGCUAUUUCUUUUAUCUAAUGAUGAAGCAAUCGCCCCAUUCUGCAAGAAACACACCAAUGUCAUGGUUAGUGCAGAGUUGUGGGCGCGGACGAAAGAAAGGAAUGAGUGUGCACAUAAUUUUCGCACACAAGAACCAGAGGCAAAUGUGAUCGAAAAAUUUCACGAGCACGCCAAUGAAUAUUCACAUAAAAACGUGUGGUAAUAGGAACAAUAAGAUCCAACUAGUUUUGAGGAACUGAUGGCCCUAAACUGACAACAAAUUUGAGCAACCAGCAAGCAGUAGCACACCUAUCUGUGUUCCGCCUGCUACCACUGAGCUCGAGCCGACGACUGUGAUUUCUUCAUAUAAAAGUACUAACUAUCAUGUGGAAACGUUUAUAAAAAUGAAUUGGGGAAAAGUACGAUUAGAUUGGAAGAACGGUUAUACUCAUGGAUAAGGGAAGAAGAGAACAUACCCUUCAUAGUUGAAUCGCGGAAGACCGUCAACUCCUGUACCUCUAUAGAAUCGACGCCCCGGACGACGACAUCGGACAUAGACGAGCCAUCGCUGCCAAAUAAAUCAACGCGCACAGUCGAUUCAGAGGAACACAGGGCGAGAUUAAGCUUCUAUGCCGUAGAUCCUUACCCAGGUACAUGAGAGGGAGGAGAGAGAGAGAGAGAGAGAGAUAUGACACCGGGCACAUUUUUCCAACCCUAGCUCCCACCUGCUCCCAUGGAUUACGGCGGCACGGGAGAGAAGAGAAGGCAGAGGAAGGGAAACGAUGAGAGAGAGGACGAGUACAGAAUUCUGAGCCACUUUAAGGUUAAAUC
This 2251-nucleotide long non-coding RNA is filed under the name Triticum aestivum (bread wheat). RNAcentral's name for it is "long non-coding RNA (TAES_LNC028083)". Lineage: Eukaryota; Viridiplantae; Streptophyta; Magnoliopsida; Poales; Poaceae. The record is from RNAcentral.